AUGAAUAUCUUUUCAUGCUUCUGGGCAAAUCCCAUGUCCCCAGGAGACCUCCAGCAGCUGGGAUGGGUCCAGACCCACGCAUGGGGAGCAGGAGGGUCAUGCAGCAGAACAGGAGGGGCACAGAGGGGUUUCAUCCCUGCACUGCCUGGAGAUGAGCCCUGGGACAUCUCCCAGCAUCAGGAGGUGACAUGUGAAGGAGAGCAGCCUGAAUACCGAGGACCUUCCCCUUCAGCACUGCAUAGCAGGUGUCCACCUCCAAGCAGUACUUUCAAGUCAGAAGCUACAUCUCUGCCUGCUUCUUCCCCAUUGCUAUUGGUUAUAAAUCAGAAUUCCUGGAAUCUCUGCUACGGAUUUGUGACCAUCCCCCCCCAGGGGUUUGAGCAGGAGUGCUCAGAGUUUACCAUCAUUGGACCACUAGUCCAUUCUCUCCAAUCACCAAAACAUUUUACUCUCCAGAGUGAAGUCAAGCUAAAAUCCUUAAAUUGCAGGCUGCUGCAUGGUCCCUGUUGGAGCUGCUGACCUGGAGGCUCAGUGGAUAAGGGUACAGCUCUAUGCUUGAGGAAGGAUGCCCCAAGCUGAGGUUGAGCUCUGAGCACCACAUCCCUGCUGCCUAUGGAGUGAACAAUCUGCAUGCCAAGCAGCAGGGCAACAGCACUUCUCCAUUUCCAAAGCACAGUGCUGUGGUCCUUUCAGGCUGUCACUUUCCUGCUGCACUACCUGGGGCUGGGGGGGGGGAUUUCUUUACAAAAGAAGAGCAUGCACAGCAGGAGCAACCUGCUGCGAGCAUUUGGCCAGCCAGCAAGGUGCUGCCAAUCUGCUUGAGUUGUCAGCAGAUUGAAUGAAGCGGCUCCACUCCCGCUUUGAGCUGCGUGAGUCUCUCUUACAGGAAGCAGAUUUCCUUGCAAUUUCCUCGCAGUUUCCUCCUCUGCUGCUUUCUAAUGGGAUUUGAGGUGCUGUUUGCUCACUCUCCCUUUCCGUGCCAGCAUCCCCCCGCACGCAGCCCAUGCAGGGCAGAGCCGUUUGCUCUCUUGCAAAGGCACAUCGGUGCGGUUGUGUUUCCUUUUCUGGCAGAGAAAGCGAGCAGCGAGCUGAUGCCGAGAGCACAGCCACUGUAUUGCACAACGCCAGGGCAACGCCAGCUCCAACCGUCAGGGGCUGCGUGGUGGCAGCGGCGGCAGAGGAGGGUGUGCAGUUGGUGCCUUUGUGGCCCCCGGGGUCUUUUUAUACUUUUAGAGAAGUUGGGCUCAUCCUAAGUUCCUCUCCCACAGAUUGUUCCUGUUGUUGUCGCUGCUCCGACCCCGCAGAUCAUGUGGCUUGGCAUGACCUGGCGCCUCACUGCACUCCUGCUAGUCCUGAGCUGUGGGGACAGUGGGGACAGCAACUCCUAUGCACCUACAGCUUUCCACCUCUCAGUCCAUUUUCCUCUCAGCCCAUCCCCUCAGGGAGCUCCUUUGGCUUCUGACAUGCAGAGAGCUCUCUGUUCCCCUGGGCAAUGCCAUGCACGUUUGCAGCCCCAACG
Molecule: long non-coding RNA, 1519 nt
Filed under: Phasianus colchicus (ring-necked pheasant)
Lineage: Eukaryota; Metazoa; Chordata; Aves; Galliformes; Phasianidae
Description: lncRNA (ENSPCLG00000021640.1)
Source: RNAcentral